AUCCGUUUAGUUUAAAAGGAAAACAUCAUCCUUACAAGUUGAAGACGGUGGAGCAUUACCACCAACGGAUA
The sequence is a transfer RNA, 71 nucleotides long. It matches the Rfam family "tRNA". Rfam says of the family: Transfer RNA (tRNA) molecules are approximately 80 nucleotides in length. Their secondary structure includes four short double-helical elements and three loops (D, anti-codon, and T loops).